RNAcentral lists this ribosomal RNA (513 nucleotides) under uncultured bacterium. RNAcentral describes it as "partial 16S ribosomal RNA". It matches the Rfam family "Bacterial small subunit ribosomal RNA", at positions 28 to 523 of the family's 1533-position model. The record is from RNAcentral.
GACGAACGCUGGCGGCAUGCCUAAUACAUGCAAGUCGAGCGAACAGAUGAAGUGCUUGCACUUCUGACGUUAGCGGCGAACGGGUGAGUAACACGUAAGGAAUCUACCUAUAAGCGGGGGAUAACAUUCGGAAACGGGUGCUAAUACCGCAUAAUAUCUUCUUCCACAUGGAAGAAGAUUGAAAGACGGCUCUGCUGUCACUUAUAGAUGACCUUGCGGUGCAUUAGUUAGUUGGUGGGGUAAUGGCCUACCAAGACGAUGAUGCAUAGCCGACCUGAGAGGGUGAUCGGCCACAUUGGGACUGAGACACGGCCCAAACUCCUACGGGAGGCAGCAGUAGGGAAUCUUCCGCAAUGGGCGAAAGCCUGACGGAGCAAUGCCGCGUGAGUGAAGAAGGCCUUCGGGUCGUAAAACUCUGUUAUAAGAGAAGAACAAAUUGUAGAGUAACUGCUACAGUCUUGACGGUAUCUUAUCAGAAAGCCACGGCUAACUACGUGCCAGCCGCCGGGGUAA